GAUGCAAACCAAAAUGCCCGUUGAUGACCAAUGACCUACAGGCUUGUUAAUGCCAAGCAAAAUGCAUACAAAGACCAAUGUGUGGAUGGAAGGCGGUUGAGGCGCAUCGAUGCAAAUCCAUGCCUGCCGGUAAUCACUGACCUAAAAAGCUUGGUGAUGCACAGCAGAGUGCACACAAGCACA
Molecule: non-coding RNA, 183 nt
Filed under: Dunaliella tertiolecta
Lineage: Eukaryota; Viridiplantae; Chlorophyta; Chlorophyceae; Chlamydomonadales; Dunaliellaceae
Source: RNAcentral